RNAcentral lists this ribosomal RNA (516 nucleotides) under uncultured bacterium. Its description in RNAcentral is "partial 16S rRNA". The record is from RNAcentral.
ACUCCCCAGGCGGGGUACUUAUUGCGUUAACUCCGGCACUGGAGGGGUCGAUACCCCCAACACCUAGUACCCAUCGUUUACGGCCAGGAUUACCGGGGUAUCUAAUCCCGUUCACUACCCUGGCUUUCGCGCCUCAGUGUCAGACACAGUCCAGAAAGUCGCCUUCGCCACUGGUGUUCCUCCUAAUAUCUACGCAUUUCACCGCUACACUAGGAAUUCCACUUUCCUCUCCUGCACUCAAGAAUAACAGUAUCCAAUGCUUCACGGGGUUAAGCCCCGAACUUUAACAUCAGACUGAUUAUCCCACCUGCGCGCGCUUUACGCCCAAUAAUUCCGGACAACGCUUGCCACCUACGUAUUACCGCGGCUGCUGGCACGUAGUUAGCCGUGGCUUUCUUGUCAGGUACCGUCAUUAUGGAUCAUUAUUUACAAUCCACACAUUCGUCCCUGAAAACAGAGUUUUACGAUCCGAAAACCUUCUUCACUCACGCGGCGUUGCUCCGUCAGACUUUCGUC